ACUAAAUAGGUAUUAAAUGUUUCGAUACUUCUACAUUGCAGCCCUAAUUACAAUGUAACCCUAGACAAGAGCAAGUUAUCGAUAGGAAGGGAGCGAGUGUAGAGUCGAGAGUCAAGUGGAAAAGUUGUCAAAAGCGGUUGUUACUAAAUCUAAAUUUCGUCAUAAGUCUAUAUAAUUAAAUGUUAAGCUAUAUUUUUUGUUUAUAUAAACCAUAUAAGCGGAAAACUUGCCCUAAUGCUCGCUCAUGAUUCCAUCCUGGACAUGGCAACAAAUGCCGCAUGCAUAUACAUUGCGCACAAGAACAAUUCAGAGAACAGGCUGGUUACAAGCCCAGAAAGGCAAGGAGACAACAGAGGGCCGAGAAAAGCCUCCCUGCUGGUUGCACAAGCAAUCGGCGACAAACGCCUUGGAAUGGCACGGUCUAUUCUCUGACUAGAGCUUCAAAUUACCGCAAGCCGAUAUUGACGACCCAGAGAAAGCAGCUAACGGCUCGAUCGCCCAUUUCAAAUCCAGGCGUCAUCGGUGCUGUCAAUCCAAUAUAAAAAUUGUCUUUAAGUAGCCUGGGAGGCGAGAAGAGGAAGUCAGCAGGAUGGUAAAACCUAAGCCACCGCUAUACGCCGCGCUGAGCCCUAGUGGCUCGGCGAUUGUUAAAAAGUUUAAAAGUUAAAAAUUUUACUGAAUCGAAGUUGCCAGAAGCAGUAACGUAGUGUAAAGCAUCGUU
Drosophila yakuba is the source of this 721-nucleotide long non-coding RNA. RefSeq lists it as uncharacterized. The transcript has 2 exons. The record is from RefSeq and is a predicted model, not a curated record. NCBI's taxonomy places the organism in Eukaryota, Metazoa, Arthropoda, Insecta, Diptera, Drosophilidae.